Molecule: long non-coding RNA, 6547 nt
Organism: Tympanuchus pallidicinctus (lesser prairie-chicken)
Lineage: Eukaryota; Metazoa; Chordata; Aves; Galliformes; Phasianidae
Exons: 2
Source: RefSeq, a predicted model, not a curated record
CACCCACUCGGGGCUGUCCCAGCGAGGCCGAGCCCCGUGCUCGCUUCGCUUUUGCACUCCCGAAGGCCGGUGCAUCCCGACGGCACGGAGCAGCCCCGGCCCCGCUCCGUAGGGUCACUCCAAGUCACCGCCUCCCCACGUCGAGGAACAGCGAUUUGAGGGAGAAUUGCGGCUCUGGGGAAUGUUUUUGCCCUCCGUCCGGGGGGAGGGGGUUGGGGGGUUGGAGUUGUCAGCCCUGGGCUGGCCUUGGGGUCAGAGAAACCCGUGGAAAGCGGCCGCUCUGGGAGAGGCGAUCCCCGCUUUCCCCUUCUGCUGUCGUCUUUCUGUCCUUCCCGUGGAAGCGGGGACACUCCCGCACCUCGCAGAUGGGAACGGAGGGAAAUGAUCCGCUCCGAGCUCCGCCGCCCCGUUAGUUUUCUUUCGGCCGCGACUUUCGCCGAGAAACCCAAAAACACUGAGAGCAGCACACCAUCAGUUGAACAAGAACUUCAGCGUUUGGAGGAACUCUCAAAAUUCAGCCCAACCUCCACCCGCCGCCGAAACCGGACCCGUUCGUAGAGACUUAAACAAACAAACAAACUACAACAACAACAACAAAAAGUGUUAAAAGGAGAAAAUCACCGGCGCCCCCGAACCAGUUGGCUCCGAGCGGCAAUGCAGAGCAGCAGUGCGCCGAGCGGCUGAGGGCCAAGCCUGGCGCUCCCCGAGAGGAGCCCUGGAGGUGGGGGGGAGGGAGAGAUGCUCACGCAGGAGAAGCUCCGGACGUAGGGUGCUGAGCGCCUGCUUGUCGCAUUUUCACAUUUAAAGCCAGCACGGCCGUGAGACCCAGCGCCCCCAGGAGUGCCCGGGGUUGUGCCGUUCUGUAACCGCCGCUCCCCAGUGCGGGUGUAUGCACGCCGCCGCUCGCCCGCACAAAUCCCAUAAACGCUAAUAAAACAGAUUCCUCCGGAUUUGUUUAACUUUCCCUGGCACCGCGCGGCCCUAUAUUGGUAUUCAAUGGGGUUACCCGUGUGCAUGAGGAUUACUGGUUAAGCGUGGACACGGGAUCAACCUUCUAGAAUGCCACUCGAACAUGUCCCUACAAAUGAGUAAGGUGGGAGACGUAAGCACUGACAAUACGAUUAAUUUGCACCGAAGACUUGAAAGGAAAAAGGAAGUUAAAUCACGGUACUCGAGUUAUUAAGCUAGGCAGAACUGAGGCCUCUGGUUGCAGGGGAUCGUUUUCAGCUCUUUACUCGGAGCUGUGUUACUGCUAUUGUCCAACCUUUGCUGGCCACAUGGGACCCCACUUGGAAAUCGGUCAGAAAAUUAUUUCUACUGGACAAGAACUGGAAAUAUCCAGCUGGGGCAGGGAUCCAUUUCCAGGCAGAGAGUGGGGAAGGAAACUCGGUCCUCCUUCUCCUUACACAGACAGUGCUGUUAGAAGUUGUCCAAAGCAACUCAAGCUACUAUCCAGAAAGUAUCUGCUGCUCACAAAUGAAAAAAGAUGGGAUUCCAUCCCCCACCCCCUCCGACCCCCUCUGGCCCCCAUGGAUUAGUAAAUUUGUUAUUUAUUUAUUCUGUACAGAAUGUAGAAAAGGGUACAUGGUGCCUGCAUUGCACGGCGCCUGUGCAUAACGCACAGUGACAACAUGGGCACAAGGCACUGCUGGAGCUGAUGGACCGAUCCAAGUAGAUGACAUUUGGAAAAAAUACGCCCAGCUUAAAAGCACAGAAUGCUCAUGUUUGGGUCAGGCUCUCCAUUUCAGUAUUCUAAGGAGAACAAAGUUAUUUUGCUGAGGCCAACUUUCUUUUUUUUUCUUUUCCUUUCUUUCUUUCUUUCUUUUUUUUUUUUUUUUCCAACUGGAAAAUUUGAUGAUUUUUCUGAAAGUGGUUUCUUACAGUCAGAUAAUUGAUAUUAAUUAUGAAUCCCAAACAUCCAUGACCGAAGGUUUGUUUUUCCUAAUGUAAGCUGCAAACCAUAUUUCUUUCAGUUAGUUUUGAAGGUGAAAGCCGUCCUUGGGAACAGGAGAGGGAAUAUAUCAAUCACAGAAAGGAAGCCUCUAGGUUGAAAAAUUAGGAAAAACCUUGUAUGAAAAGCACACACAAAGAGGAGUGUUUUUGCUCUGUUUGUCUGAAGUCCUUUGAACAUGAUGAAAGUCAAUGUGAGUAUUUCAAUGUAAUUUUUUUAAAGUUAUGCUCAGCGGUUUCGAGUAGUUAUCUCAAUGGUCCUUGGCUUUUAUGAAUAGUGUGACUAAUCUAGUGGAGAUGAGUAAUGGAUCUACGAGGAAUAGAGGAAUUCUGAUGCAAAAACAUCUCUCUUUUCUGUUGGUGUUUUAUGCUGCUUGACAUUCAAUAUAUUAUAUAAUGGCUGUCAGAAGAACUUUGGUAAUGCUUUAUGGUAAUGUUUAUAAAUACUUUAGUCGUGAUUUAGAAACGAUGAAUGGAAAAUGCUAUUUAUAGAUAAUUAUGUGAUGUUUUACUAUGUUGUAAGCACAUUCAUACACAUAUGUAUGUGCUCAUGUUAAUUGCCGUGCUUUCUUUGUCGUAGCACACUGAUUCAAUAUUUUUGCAUUUGUCUACAGUACACUUAGCAACACAGCUACCAGAUUAUCUUUAAAUAGGUAUUUUACCAUGUAUGGACAAAGAAAUUGAAGUCAGGAUUGAUCUACACACGUGGGACUGGGAGGUUACUGCAAGGAAGAGGGUACAGAGAGGGGAAGGAAAGGUUCCCGUGUAGGCUGUUUUUGUGAAAUGAAGACCUCAGCCCUGUAAAUGAACAUGUAUCAGUGAACUCUGUAAGCCACUGGCUUAACACGGCUUAAAACCCAGCAGUGCAGCCCCAGCAAGGCAUGACAAGGCACCAGCAUGUCUCUAGGGUGGAUCUGUCUCCUCGUUAGCAUGGUCGAGCUGAUUGGGAAGAUCUGGCAUGGGGAUGGGAAGAGGGAGGAUUCACACCUCUUUGAGGGCUGAUGUGGUGAUCUCAUGGUCAUGAUCUUGUUUGGAUCAAAAGGCAGAGCAGAGAACAGGCUCAUGCCCUGAUCUGUGCUAGAAGUGGCUUGCAAGUCCCUCAGCUUUCAUCCUUCCACAGCAAGGAUUUGUGAGUAAAUAAGUAAAAGGUAGUAUAACAAACCUAUGUGAACUGGCUUCACCAAAUGCAGAAUGCAAGAUUUCUGUUCUGAUCCUGACUGAUACUCAUGUCGUCCCAGUUUAAAAGAAGGUAGCUGCUUAGUUCGGGUCACCAUGAGUUUUCCCACCAGCAGUGAGACUGAAAAGUCACAUUGUAUGGGCAGUGAUAACCACAAUUACAUUUGACACUGAAACAUUGAAAUUAUCCCAUAUGGGCACACAAAACAUCUUGGUAACUUGCUCCCCGGGAAAGUCCCAUCAGCAUGCUUUGUGUCUGAACAGCAAGGACCAGGUCAGCACAUACACCUGAAAGUAUAGCUGCUUUCAGUGUGGGUCUUACUACUACUUCUCGCUAGUGUUUCCAGCUCUGGAUAUAACUUCGCACGUCUUUUUAACUUCGUUAGAAUUUGUACCAACAAGGUUUCCAUGCUUAUACUGUGGGAAUAGCGAAUUAAUUCAUCCUUAAUUGAACAAAGGCACACUAAGUUCAAUCUCUGCUAACAUCAGAAAGAUACUCAGAAGAUACUGCCCUCUAAAAUGAUCUGUCUGACCUUUAGACAUUGAUCCUGAAAUUUGAUCUCUGAGACCCACCAAUACCAAAGAAUUAGACGCUUCAGUCUCUGGAUGCCAUUUGGAUGUGCUCUCAGUUUCGGAGUUCAGGGCCAGGUCCAGAAAGGGACUCAGGGAGAAUGCAGAUACUGAAGGCUAAAAUGGGAGUGCUGAACAUUUCCAUUCAGUUGCUGACUAAUUCUGGAUGUAUCCAAAGCUUAUCUGUUCAUCAUUUUGUUCCUUAAUGCAGGUACAUAAUUCAGACCUAGGAUGUGAGUUUUCUCCCUGAUUUGGUCCCAACACAAUCAGUGAAUACGCUCUGCUCCACAAUCAACAGAAGUUGUCUUUGAUUUAUAUAUGCAUAUAAGUCACAUUUGAUGAUGAGGACCUGGACUCAAUUUCCUCCAUUGUCCAAAGGGAUGCAAUGCAGACCCCUGGUCUUUGAAAAGUGUGUUCUAUACAUUGUCCACUAGACUGCAUGUGAUGUACCUUCAUACUAUAUUUACUUUAUUAAGUAUAGAAUAAGGGAAAAAAGCAAUCCUCUGUUCCAACAGUCAAGUGCAUUGCUGGUAAGGGAUAUAUCUGGAGUUCGCUGUCUUUUCCAAGAUUUUGUUUGUUUGUUUGUUACAAAUAUGUUACUUCCAGUGUACACAAAUGCAUUGAAAGCCUUUGGAGCAAGAUGAGGAACAUGGUUCCCUUCCCCCAGCCUUACCAAGAAGGCUUGGGUCAUAUUAUUCAAUGGUUGGACUAGAUGAUCUUAGUGGUCUUUCUAACCUUAAUGAUACUUAAUGAUGAUGGUGACUUUCUCUGUCUUUCAGUUUUUCUAGGCACAGUAGCCUGAUGGGAACAGGAGGGACUGAGAGCCUUAGCCUGGUUUAUAAUAUGCUGUUGUGGGCUCAGUGUUGAAAAGAUGGAGAUAAAACUUUGAACUUUCUCAAAGGCCAGUGAUCUUUCCUCUCAUUUGCCAAGUGCAGGAUCACUGUGUGGUAUGGCAGAGAGAUGAGAAGAGCUGUUGUUCUGCCUCUAGUCUUACCAUCUAAACAGCGUUCGCUUUUUCUUUUUUCACUUAAAAGCCAAAACCUAAGCAAGAAAACAAAAAUUGAAAAAUGUAGAAUAGUCAUGUCAGGGAAACUCAUGAUGAGUCUGAGGUUGGAAGAAGAUGAUAAGAACCAACCCACUUCCUUAUCAUCUUCUCAGUGAGUAGCUCAGGUGUUUCAGUGUUCAGCUCUGUUAUGCACUCUGUUUGGAAGAGCUCAAUUCAACAGCAAUUUAGGCAGCUGAGUAGGUUUGGAAAUUAGCACUAGGACUACAUUAUUUAAGAGAAAUUACAACAUUUAUUUUUAUGUCUCCAAAGUAAUUCUGGGAAAUAUUUUCCUAUUAAAAAAAAGCCAACAAAACAAAACCAACACAAAUCUGUCUUCAGGCUAUAUGCAUAUAUAUGCAUGAUAUGUGAAUGUUCCACUGUUUUCUGGUGGUAUGUAUGAGGAGUUUCAGACCGUUCCUUAGAACAUUUGUUCUUAUACAAGCAACUCCUUACAACAAAUCACAGCUUAGCAAGAUCCUUGAGCAGUGGCUUACAUCUCUCAGAUGGUGGACAGCAUACUGCAAUGGAAAGAAACACCCUCAUCCCUCCUUGCCCUCAGUAGUUGUAUAGAAUUUUUAUGCAUGUCACAAGUGCAAUGUAUUUUGGCUCUGAGAAAAGAAGAAAACAAAUGAUUCCCUCCAUCUGUUGAAAACUGUACAUACUGUAAUCUCCAAACACUUCUUUUAUCACCUGGAUGGUUUCGGAAAACCAUUUAUCUGUUCUUCUGCUAUCCAGUAUGUUAGUCAAAUUCUGAAUAUGUUUUUCUGCGAUUUCCUUCCUUUUCUUUCCUUCCUUCUUUUUUUAUUUUCUUCUUUUCUUUUUUUUACUUUUUUUUUUUUUUUUCUUUCUUUCUUCUUUUUUCACUUUUUUCUUUUUUCCCCAGCUUUCUCUUCUUCAGGACUUCUCCAGCACUGGGGACGUGCUAUUAGCAUAUCUUGGGAAACCCCAUUGCAGGGGGAAUUUGUAGACAACUGUUUACCCUGAAUAGAUUGCAAGUAUUGGACAGUGCAAAUAUUCACAGUGGUACUGGUAACACCAAUAUCCCUAACCCUCUGAACAUGUACAGUAUGGACUGGAUAGUUCAAAAAACUAGAGAGGCUCUUAGAUCAAGCUGAGUGCUUGUGCAAUUAAUUCAAGAUAAACAUUCUCCCAACUGCCUAUGCAGUGCUUUAAUGACCAUUAGAGGCCCCCUGCUGAGGAGGUCUGUGCCUUAAUUCCACAACCAUAUGAGAUUUCAUGCAGGUCAGUAGAACAGGCUUUAAGCUGAGACAGAUAAAGCCAAGCGGGAGGAAAUGGGAGAACACAGAGAAUAUUAUUUAUCAUAAAUGCCUGAGAGAAUUGGCUGGAGACCUGAAAUGAAUUUAGGGGCAGAUAAAACUGACAGAUAAAUCUUAGACAAAUCUAGGAUGAGAGAAGAGCGUGAUUGGAGAAAUAAAAUAGAUGUGGUGAUGAUAGGUGCUGGAAGAAGAGUGAAGCUCUGCAGAAGUUCAAGCUCAUUUUCAGUAAGACGUUUUAUCUUUGGGGAUUACUCCAGCAGAAACUACAACUCCUCAGAGAUUUGCCUCAACACCACUAAAAAUGCAUAGGUCUGAUACUGCAAACAGGGUUCCCACGAAGAGGCUAAACUCCUCGUGAAUCAACAUCGUGGCCUUCAGCACUAACAUGGCUUUCGGUCGGCGGGGGCUUUAUCAGAUGAUGUCAUGUUUGUAACUGAUAUCCCACUCCACAGUGCUAAUGAGAACAGAAAUGCCAUGGAACUGAGCCGUGCCAGAGUGAUCUUUGCUUCCCUAUGAACUUUUGGUUAAA